GGAUGUGUAGCUCAGUUGGUUAGAGCGCUUCGUUCACAUCGAAGAGGUCGUUGGUUCGAGUCCAAUCACAUCCA
Molecule: transfer RNA, 74 nt
Filed under: Microviridae sp.
Lineage: Floreoviria; Sangervirae; Phixviricota; Microviricetes
Description: tRNA-Val
Rfam family: tRNA
About the family: Transfer RNA (tRNA) molecules are approximately 80 nucleotides in length. Their secondary structure includes four short double-helical elements and three loops (D, anti-codon, and T loops).
Source: RNAcentral